CCCCAGUAAACGGCGGCCGUAACUAUAACGGUCCUAAGGUAGCGAAAUUCCUUGUCGGGUAAGUUCCGACCCGCACGAAAGGCGUAACGAUUUGGGCACUGUCUCAACGAGAGACUCGGUGAAAUCAUAGUACCGGUGAAGAUGCCGGUUACCCGCGACAGGACGGAAAGACCCCGUGGAGCUUUACUGUAGCCUGAUAUUGAAAUUCGGUACAGUUUGUACAGGAUAGGUAGGAGCCUUAGAAGCGUGAGCGCUAGCUUACGUGGAGGCAUUGGUGGGAUACUACCCUAAUUGUAUUGGAUUUCUAACCCGCAGCACUUAUCGUGCUGGGAGACAGUGUCAGGCGGGCAGUUUGACUGGGGCGGUCGCCUCCUAAAGAGUAACGGAGGCGCUCAAAGGUUCCCUCAGAAUGGUUGGAAAUCAUUCAUAGAGUGUAAAGGCAUAAGGGAGCUUGACUGCGAGACCUACAAGUCGAGCAGGGUCGAAAGACGGACUUAGUGAUCCGGUGGUUCCGCAUGGAAGGGCCAUCGCUCAACGGAUAAAAGCUACCCCGGGGAUAACAGGCUUAUCUCCCCCAAGAGUUCACAUCGACGGGGAGGUUUGGCACCUCGAUGUCGGCUCAUCGCAUCCUGGGGCUGUAGUCGGUCCCAAGGGUUGGGCUGUUCGCCCAUUAAAGCGGUACGCGAGCUGGGUUCAGAACGUCGUGAGACAGUUCGGUCCCUAUCCGUCGUGGGCGUAGGAAAUUUGAGAGGAGCUGUCCUUAGUACGAGAGGACCGGGAUGGACAUACCUCUGGUGUACCAGUUGUCGUGCCAACGGCAUAGCUGGGUAGCUAUGUAUGGACGGGAUAAGUGCUGAAAGCAUCUAAGCAUGAAGCCCCCCUCGAGAUG
Molecule: ribosomal RNA, 889 nt
Filed under: Staphylococcus pseudintermedius
Lineage: Bacteria; Bacillati; Bacillota; Bacilli; Caryophanales; Staphylococcaceae
Description: partial 23S ribosomal RNA
Rfam family: Bacterial large subunit ribosomal RNA
Source: RNAcentral